Molecule: long non-coding RNA, 884 nt
Organism: Sitophilus oryzae (rice weevil)
Lineage: Eukaryota; Metazoa; Arthropoda; Insecta; Coleoptera; Curculionidae
Exons: 4
Source: RefSeq, a predicted model, not a curated record
UUGUAGGUACUUUCAAGAAAUAUAGUUAACUGUAAGUGCUGUAUUUUAAUAAUCUGUCAAAAAUCAAAAUCAUCAGGAUAAUAUUAGGUAUUGAUUUUCAAACAAGAAUUAGAUUACAGCGAUGGUCAAAAGCAUUUAGAUAUUGCUUUGAAAUCUACAGAUAAGAAAUACUGUCCACUUGCAGUAUUUACAUAGGAAAAUGUUGGAGGAUGAAGCUCUACCUACUGCCUCAGGUUAAUUUAAAUUCUGAGUUGCAACAACAGCAACAAGCAAGAAGGGCACCAUUAAAUGAAUAUUAUAUUAUUAUACAAAGAAAGAGUAAUGUUAUACACAUAAAUAUUAACAUUUUGUAGAGCAACAACAGAAUAAAAAAACAAAAUAUGAACACCAGCAACUAAAACAGGAACCAUUAAAUGAAUAUUAUAUACAGAUCAACAUUUUGUAGAGCAAUGACAGCAUCAAAUAAUGGAAAUAAUGGACCUUAUUGCACAAAUCAAAAACAAAAUUUCAGUAUUACUUUAUUGGUUAUAUCAAUAAAAGAAAUUGAGUUUAUCAGUCUAGAUCCUACAAGCAAGCAGAUCUAUCACAUAAUUUUAAAUGAAGAUUUAUCUAUCAUAGUAAUUUAUUCUAAUAACGAAAAAAAAACUUUGGAUCAAAAAAUAUUUUCUUCUGAUGAGGUUUAUGAAUAUUAAAGUCUGUUGAAGUUUGGCCAUUAUGUGUUGGUAUACAAUUUAUUUAUGAUGUUACAGUAGUUAAACCAUCCGAGUACGAAACAUGUUUAAUAUCCACUAUUCUUAAUGAAUGGAAACUACCAACUUGAGAGGAAGCUAAGAGAAAGGUUCUAUUGGGUGGACUACAAGGAAAAGGGAUAUACAUGAGGAUCU